Molecule: long non-coding RNA, 595 nt
Filed under: Equus caballus (horse)
Lineage: Eukaryota; Metazoa; Chordata; Mammalia; Perissodactyla; Equidae
Description: lncRNA (ENSECAG00000053661.1)
Source: RNAcentral
GAUUAUCAAGAGAUUAGAAAUGCUGCUCCUAGGAUUGGCAGGAGUGGGGAGAAAUGGCGUCUUCAUAAACGAAUGCUCUGCUGCUCGCUGACUCUUGACCACCCACAUAGACGUCCCGUGCCUCACUCUCCUCGUCUGUAAAAUGGAUGACGAGAGGACCCACGUUGCAGUGAAAGGGGAUUCCAGGCCACCCUGUGAAAUCACCGUGCGCGGGCAGACAGAAGUCUUGGUGAGGGGCUGGUGUGGAGCAGGAUGCCGCGGGAAUGCCACCAUCGGAUGCGUCAGGGUGGGAAGAAACAAAGGCUGACAACUGCAGCACCAGAUAUGAUGUCCAGAGCUGCAGCAGCCAUCCUGAAACUAUGUGGCACCAGGCUAACACUGAGGAUGGUGGGCAGAGAGAUGGAAAAACUUGGGUCCUUGGUGACCUCAUCAAGCUGCUAAAUCACCUGAAGCUGCCUAUGCCCAGGAUCCUUGAAGCCUCUACCCUCCAGGAGUAUGCCAGGAUCUAGUUCUGUGUCCAGAGGCCUUUCGGGAUUCUAUUGCCUGAUCUGACCAGAAGGGAAGCUGAAUCCUGAAUCCUGAAUCCUGCUGUCAG